This 95-nucleotide small RNA is filed under the name Sinorhizobium meliloti 2011. RNAcentral's name for it is "putative ncRNA". The record is from RNAcentral. Lineage: Bacteria; Pseudomonadati; Pseudomonadota; Alphaproteobacteria; Hyphomicrobiales; Rhizobiaceae.
CUCCUCAUUCCUGUGCUCCUUGGGCUGACAGAACGCUUGCCGCGUCACGGACGUGGCGCUGCCGGAUCUCUGUGACAAGCACAGAGAAUGAGGGA